AUUGAACGCUGGCGGCAGGCCUAACACAUGCAAGUCGAGCGAGCGGCGGACGGGUGAGUAAUGUCUGGGAAACUGCCUGUUGGCUGGGGAUAACUACUGGAAACGGUAGCUAAUACCGCAUACCAUCAGAUGUGCCCAGAUGGGAUUAGCUAGUCGGUGGGUUAACGGCCCACCUAGGCGACGAUCCCUAGCUGGUCUGAGAGGAUGACCAGCCACACUGGAACUGAGACACGGUCCAGACUCCUACGGGAGGCAGCAGUGGGGAAUAUUGCACAAUGGGCGCAAGCCUGAUGCAGCCAUGCCGCGUGUGUGAAGAAGGCCUUCGGGUUGUAAAGCACUGUCAGCGGGGAGGCGUUACCCGCAGAAGAAGCACCGGCUAACUCCGUGCCAGCCGCCGCGGUAAUUC
Molecule: ribosomal RNA, 406 nt
Filed under: uncultured bacterium
Lineage: Bacteria
Description: partial 16S ribosomal RNA
Rfam family: Bacterial small subunit ribosomal RNA
Source: RNAcentral